CAGUGUGUUUAAGCUUGACUUCUCAUUCUGAACAAUCAAUAAAAUGCCUUUUUAUUUUAGGUGAUCAAUUCUGAAUUUUUUUCCCAAGAAAAAAAAUCCAGAGAACAAGGGGCCAAAUCAAUAUGCAGUUAUAAUUUUGGUCUAAAUUAAAAGCUCUCUCUUGGCCUGGAGAAUAUAAUCUGUUCAUAUUACUUGGGCUCCAUAAUGAAUUUACAUGGCAGGCUUAUUGCAGGUUUUAUGUCGGCUCUGCCUUACUUGGGCAUGUAAUGCUCUGGAAUCUGAUUAAAACUUUGGGGGAAGAGCAGCUGUUCAGCCAUGGAGGGUGAACUCAGGCCCAUUUUUCAGAACAUGACUAUAAUGCCUGACACGCUUGCCAGCUAUUGGAUGAUAAAUGAACUAUCUUUGAAUGCCCAGCUCCUGUGUUAAUAGCUUUAAAAUAUCGGUUGUUUACAGGAAAGAAGUUGGGAGCUCUUAGCGAUUUUCCUGUCCCAGGGGUCCUCAAAUACAUCGUUUUUUUCAUUGCCAGAAUGGCAGUCAUAUUGAAGGGCAAAGGAAGAAAUUCUUUCACUAUUUAGUUUGUUUUUCUUAGGUUUACAGCAAGAGUUUCUCAUUUCAAAAGAUAGUGGAGUGAGUGCCCUGUGAAUUUUUAUAUGAAAUGAAACACAUAAAAUCCAGACCGCAUCCUUGUUGACAUUAUCCCGUAGUAUCCAAAUCAUAAAGUAAUUUCAUCUGACUUUUCUAAAGGUAUUUAAUUCAACUGAACAUAUGAAAGUUAAAUUCUGAAGCCUGUGCCAAAUAGCUUAUUUCCAGAAUGGCAAUUAAAUGAUCAAGUUUGAUCUAAUGCCAUUGAUGCGAGCAUGCUAUACCUGAUGUUAUUAAGUUAAACCCUAACCCUAAUAUAUUUGGAGGUUUAUUCUUUUUAUGUUUAACCUUGUCCCUACUCUCACCCGCCUACUUUGUUUUUAUGGACAUCAGAAUAUCUUCUAAAUGGAGUUAAUUCUUAAUUAUGUGAUUAUUGAGUGCUUAUAUUUUCAGACAUUGCCUAUUGCUCUAUCUGCUUAUAGCCUUUUUAUUAGCAUGUUUAUAAGAACAAGUUAUGAAAAGUAAAAAAUAUAUACACGUACGUCUUCAAUUUUGUUUUAUUAGUAGUUCUGAUAAAAGUAUCAGGAGAAUUUUAAUCUUAGAACAUGCUUCGUGUAUGGAUUGUGUGUUUUACUUUCUCCAUGAAGAAGGGAAGAUUGGGUUGGGAGUCUGGAUAAUGACUUUACCAUUUACCAACUUUAUGCCAUUGAGCAAGUCAGUCAGCCUUUUCAGUUCUGCUUUCUAAUUCCCUCAAAAUAGGAGCCUCAGUAUACAUAUCAAUCCCAGUUUAAAAUAUAAAAAUCUGUUGGGAUUAUAGAAGUGAGAUUACACUGCAGAUAUAGAUUAUCAAGACAGAUAAGAUCAAUGUCAUGGAGAACAAAACUAUAGAAAACCAAAGUUCAAAACAUGUAUAAUUAUUUACUAAGAUGGAAUAAAAGACUAUUUACAUCCCUAAAACAAGCAUAAGUUGAAAUUUUAAAAGUAAAAUCAUAGAAAUUUAAAAUAUAAAAUUCAAAAUAAUACUUGAGCUGAUGUGAUUGUCUACUUAAAAAUAUGAGAGACUCAGGGAGUUCCUGUCGUGACUCAGUGGUAAAGAAACUAACCAGUAUCCAUUGAGGAUGUGGGUUCAAUCCCUGGCUUCUCUCAGUGGGUUAAGGAUCCAGCGUUGCCAUGAACUUCAUGGCUUGAAUCCCACGUUGCUGUGGCUGUGGUGGAGACUAGCAGCUGCAGCUCCCUCCUAGUAGCCUGGGAACCCCCAUAUGCUGUAGGUAUAGCCCUAAAAAGCAAGAAAGAAAGAGACUCAAAUGGCAAAAUUUAGAGAGCUCAGAAAUACAGCUGGACAGAAGGCUGACACAAAAAAAUCAAUAGUUUUCCUAGACUUCAGUAACAACUGAUGAUUAAAUAUCAUGGGAAAAUUAUUUUGUUUACCAUACCAUUUUAAAAUCUAAAAUAAUUGGAAUAUCCCUCAUGAUAUGUGAGAAGAAAAAACCUUAACUUUAGUGAAGGACAAAAAAAGACACCUUCAAUAAAUGAAGAGCCCUGCUGUGAAAUAGGAUGGGAAGAUUCAAUAUUGUAAAGUAGUCAACCCUUCUCCCAAGUAAACUGUACCUUCAGAAUAAUCUCCCUUCUCAAAUCCCAAUGGAUUUGUAAGGUGAUUCUAAAGUUCACAUGGAGCUUGUGCUUAAGACAGCAGGAUAAAAUAUUUUAUUCUACUAGACCUGCUGAAAACAAACUAAAACUAUGAGAAACAUUGAAAAAAUAGAAAGGAAAUUUUUAUAGCAUAUGAAGCAGAGAAAUAGUCACAAUUCCAAACCAUAAAAUAUGAAAUGUUUAUGUAUGAAAUAUUGCUGCCAAAUACUGUGAACAAGAAAUGGAAUGGUGCUGACCAAAUCAGUUCCUUUUAGACCUGACAACAUAUCACAUCACUGAAAGGACUGGCUAAUAUUCCAUUGGUUAGGGUUGCAGAUAAGAUCAGACUGAAUGGGCCAAGGAAGAAACGGGGGGAAAUAAUCUGCCCCUUCAAAAUGAAAGAUGAACAGAAAUCGCUCUGACCUACAUUGCAGUUUCCCAGCUAGGGCACUGCAAGAGGCUAUUUGCAUGGGAGGAAGGGAGGCAACAAUUUCUAAAUCAAAACAUAAUUUAUCUGUAACUUAUGGGUCUUUUCUCAGUGGCACUCAAUUUGAAUGUCAUGGGCUGCAAAAAGAUGUGUGCCCAACAGAAAGAAAACAGAUUUAGUGACAAAUGAGACAGACAACUUGAGGGAGUUUUCAAACAUGCCUCAAAUUCUUUGACACUCCCCUCAUGGAGAGCUGGAGUCUCCUUGUCCCCUUUAAUCUAUAAAAUGUAGAGGAAAGGAUGAAGUGCCAUUUUCCAAGCUUAGGCCUUAAGAAACUAGCAGCUUCCAUUUCAUAUCCCUUGUGACACUCUUCCUUGGAAUGCUACCACCUUUCUGUGAGGUCAAGCUGCUCUGCUUUAUGAUGAGUGCUGAGUCCUGUGGGUGGUCCAUCCUCAAAGUGAAUCCUUCAACCUCUUAGAGUUGCUCCAACUGAUUCCAUGUGGAGCAGAAAUGAGCUGAACCUGCUGAGCUCUGCCCAAUGUGCAGAUUUGCAUACAAAACAGCUGAUUCUUGUUUUAAACCAUUCAUUCUGGGGUGGCUUGUUAAAUGCAAUGAUAGAGAACCAGAGAAAAACCCAAAUUAAAGCUGCAGUUGGCUUCUGUUUACUUUAUUCAACCCAUUUCCCUUUAUCCCUAGACUAUACUGUUCUUUAAUAAAUAAAAAGUCUCAUUUAAAGAUGAAUAAUAAUCAAAAAGGAGGGAGUGCGACAUGUUCUUUGAAACUGCAAUACAUAUAUAUAUUUUAAGCCAAAGAAGAGCCCAUGACCUCCCAAACAGAUUUACCAAAGUAUGACAGAACAGUCUGGACAAAGAAUUCUCCAUUAUUAGGAAGACAACAUGAAUUUUGUCUUUCUCUCAAUAUAGAUACAGAUAGAUAUAUGAUUUAAGAUUUCAUAGAAGAGACAUAAAAUAAUCAAGGAAGAUUAAAAGUGUGCUAGAAGAGCUCAGAGAAAAGCUAGAGAGAUAAAAUCACUUAGAAGAUAAAAAAAAACACUUUAGAAGCAACAAAAAUAGAAUGAAAUUCUCUGAAAACGCUGUCAGGGACAUAGGGGACAGAUUUGAAGACAUAACACAAAACAAAGUAGAAAAGAACAAAGAUACAAUAAUGACUACAAGCAAUAGGACAGAAAUGGAUGGCAGAUAGUUGAGUGUUUUUGAAGAAUAAAACACAUGGAAAUUGUUAUAAAACAAUAUUCUUCUGAAAUGAUGUAAUAAGUGGACUGAAAGACUUGAAGGACCCACUAGAUGCCAGGAAAUUUUCAUUUGGAAUCAUCAAAAAGAUGAGAUAAUCUGGCAAAGUUAUUGAAUUUCAAGCUUAAAGAAAGAAUUAUGGGGCUGUCUAGGCAGAAAAUCCAAGUCACUUACAAAAGCAGAAAUAAUCAGGUUGGCCUUGGAUUUCACCACAGUGACAUUCAAUUUCAGAAGAUGGAAAGGCCGCACAUUUUCGCUUCUGAGGGACAGAAUGUGAAACCCAAGUCAAAUUGUUCUUCCAAUAUAAAGGCAGCAGAUUAGGUGUUUUAAUAAAUAGUGUGGGUCAAUGGGCUAUUCCUUUGGGAGAAAAAGUUAAAUGCCUAAAUCCUAAAAAGGGGUUACAGAGCAAAAUACUAAGAAAAAAACUAUGAAAAUACCAGGAACUAUUUCUAUAAUUUUGGAAUGUUGAGGUUCUUCCAAAAUAAGACUCAAAACUUAAAAACAGUAGAAUUAAAAAUUAAUCAACUUAAUGGAAAUGCUAUAAAAUCAGUUGUGAUGAUCAUUGUACAACUAUAAAUGUAAUAAAAUUCAUUGAGUAAAAAAAAUAAAUAUAUACUUAUCUAUUUUAAUGUUUUAAAUAUACUCAAAGAACACCUACGAAUCAAUGUGAAAAACGUAAUACAAUAGAAAGUUGAAUAAAAAAUAUGAACAACUAAUUUACAGACCUCUCUCUGUAUGUGUGUAUAUAUACAUAUAAAUAUAUAUAGUCAAGUAAAAUGGUGUUUAUUUACAAAUGGAGAAAAUACAAAUUCAACUGGGACAUUUCACAUCCAUCCAAUUGACAAGAUUUCAAGCGUUUUUUCAUGUUCAGUUCAGUAUUGGCAAGAAUGAAGAGGAUUAGGCAUUUUUAUGCACUUUGUUGUCAGUAUCACUCAGCAUUUUAAAUGUUCCUAGUAAAACUACUUCUAGUAAUAUACUUCUAUAAAUAUUUCCUUAUGCAGACAAAGAUACCUGUACAGUGCAUCACUGUAAUGACAACAGAAAUGUAAACAGCCAAAAAUAUCUAUUGAUAAGGAAGAGAUUAAAUAUAUUGUACUACAUACAAACUAGGGAAAACUUUGAGCCUUUAAAAAGUCGACAUAAAGAAAUCUCAGAUAUUUUUAGUUACAAAAUAAUGUUUCUGAAAAAUACAUGUUGUGUAAUAGCAUUUAUACAAAAAAUGAUUUUGUAUAUAAAUGUAAGGGAAUGACGUCCAAAUUUUACUCUAUAUACUUUUGCAUUGCCUUAACCUUUAAUACAGAGAGUGUAUUUCUGUUUUACUUCUGUGGUAAAUGCAUUUUUAAUGGGAGUAAAAAUGCCUCACCUGCUUACCUAGUAGAGGUUUUAAAUUGUGUUAACUGCUACAUUCUGAGCACCUAUAACUGGCAGUAAUAGUUGGCCAUCUGUUGUUAGUAGGUCUCCAUCUAAUGCAUGAACAAAUAGGGAUGUGUUGAGGAUCCAAUGGGAGGAUGGUUGUUAAAGGAUUAUACAAGCACAGAUAUUUGUGUGACAGCAACAUCUGACUUUAAAUUGUAAGAGUUAAACCCUAGAGAUGUGUGUGCCUCUCAUGCCAGAACCAUUGAUUGAAAAUUGAAAUCUUUGGAUUUGAGUAAUAAAAAAGAAAAAAAAAAGAAAAUUGAAAUCUUUGGGAGUUCCGGUCAUGGCUCAGCAGAAGUGAACCUCAGCAGUAUCCAUGAGGAGGCAUGUUCGAUCCCUGGCCUUGCUUGGUCCGGUAAGGAUCCAUUGUUGGCAUGAGCUAUGGUGUAGGUCGCAAACGUGGCUCGGAUCCCAUGUUGCCGUAGCUGUGGCGGUGUAGGUUGGCAGCUGCAGCUCCAACUCAACCCCUAGCCUGGGAACAUCCAUGUGCUGUACCAGCAGCCCCAAAAAGCAAAAAUAAAAAAGAAAGAAAGAAGGAAGGAAGGAAGGAAGGAAGGAAGGAAGGAAGGAAGGAAGGAAGAAAGAAAGAAAGAAAGAAAGAAAGAA
This 5910-nucleotide long non-coding RNA is filed under the name Sus scrofa (pig). Its description in RNAcentral is "lncRNA (ENSSSCG00055027003.1)". The record is from RNAcentral. Lineage: Eukaryota; Metazoa; Chordata; Mammalia; Artiodactyla; Suidae.